GGGGAUGAAAGGAUUUCGACGGGAGCUUUGACCCCGGAUAAGCGAGCAGAGGCGCGAUACCGCUUUAAAAACCGCACUUUUAAAAUUAACUGACAACAAAACAGUUUUACAGGCUGCUUAACGCAGCCCGUCUUUACCGAGAGUACCGCGGCUUGGAUAAAGGCGUCAUCGAACGGUGAACGUGAACGGCCGAUAGCCUUGUACGCCGUCACGGAAUAAAGGGCUGCUUUUUCUUUGAGCCUGCUUUUCGGCGCUUAGAAAAAGGAGAUUCAAAAGAAAAGCUACGCUCGUAGAAAGUCCCCGGAACGGGCUUUCGGACGCGGUUUCGAUUACCGCCAUCUCCACCA
RNAcentral lists this transfer-messenger RNA (347 nucleotides) under Oscillospiraceae bacterium. It matches the Rfam family "transfer-messenger RNA". From Rfam's summary of the family: Bacterial tmRNA, also known as 10Sa RNA or SsrA, is named for its dual tRNA and mRNA-like properties. Its role is to liberate the mRNA from a stalled ribosome. Lineage: Bacteria; Bacillati; Bacillota; Clostridia; Eubacteriales; Oscillospiraceae. The record is from RNAcentral.